CUGGGGUCCAAAAACAGCCACCGGCCAGCGGGAGAGACUUGCCGUGCAAACAAGGGCUUCAGGCGCGAUGGCUCCCAGUGGCGCCUGGAAAGCCCUCCCCUCCCUGCACCCUCCCUGCCGGAAGGAACUGUGGCGAGCUCCUCCAGUUGCCUCCCUGGGCGACUGAGAAUCAUUCCACCCCUGGGAAGAUUCUGCCACCAACAGGAAUGGUCCGGGAGGAGAGCAACCAGAGAUGAUCCUGAAACCAACAACGCCUGCUGCCCUGCAUCGAGUUCUUCCUCUGUGCUGAGAGCUAGGAGAAUUCGUGUUCUCGGAGCGACACUGGAUGGGGUGAUGGAGUGAUGGAGAGACAGAGCUUCUGCUGGGGGACCUCCUACCCCCUGAGAGGGCACCUCUCAGGACUGCCCUCUGCCCUCUGGGGAGCCAGGAUCAGACGGAGUCUCCGGUGGGGUCCCAGGCACUCACUCCACGAGCUCCCCAUGCCCAAAGGAGCAGGACA
This is a long non-coding RNA of Balaenoptera acutorostrata (minke whale), 499 nucleotides long. RefSeq lists it as uncharacterized. The record is from RefSeq and is a predicted model, not a curated record. Lineage: Eukaryota; Metazoa; Chordata; Mammalia; Artiodactyla; Balaenopteridae. The transcript has 3 exons.